GCACGAAGCAAGUCACAUAGCCAAGCAGGAAAGUUAGUGGGAAUAAUGGCAAAGUCACCUGGCAAAGGACAGGAUCGGAGGGAUUCUCCCCUAAGAACGAGUCUUGAAUGCAAUCUACCACAUUCACUGCAAAACUGUUUCUAAUGGGAUGAGGAGAACCUAAAUUGUCAUCAGAAAAAAAGAGAAUGGGGUUACAGCCAGCCAAUGGAAUAGCGGUUUUGGCCCUGGAAGAGAAACCACUGUCUGCUGCAAAGCACCUCAGGAUUCUGCCCACUCUUUCUGCUGCCUCCCCUCCCUCUCAACAUUUUGAAACUGCACCAGGUAUGAAUGCAAAGCAAAUGAGGCCAAAAAUGAUGACCAAGAAUGAGCAAACCCCAUUCAUCUCAUUCUGAUCCCUUGUGGGCUUUGGUUUUAAAUCGCAGACAUACAGACCUCCUCUCGUUUUGUGACACGUUUGGCUGCUUCAUGAGUCAGCAAAUCAAGUGACUAGGACACCGAGUCAAGGUGCCUUUGUGGAGGAGACUGAGCGUGGAAGGGUUCAUUUCACUCACCUUUCUUUCCUUUUAAGUUCAUUGUUUAUCAAAGCACCGCAGAGUCUCUCCCCAUCCCUAGGGGAAAGGAAAGGACCAUUACGGAAAGAAAAUGACACCCAGAUUUUGUUAGCAAAUAUUAGGAAAAUUUUAAAUCAUGGCAAGCAGAAACUACCAGCUGGCCUGGAAGCAGAAAGCCGUGUCGACGUGGGAGCUGGAAUGUAAGAUGACUCCAAAGCCCUUCACUUUGAACAUACGAGUAAAGCAAAAGUCAGAGGAAGAACAUUGAUUUUUAAGUAAUAUAAGGUUCAAUAUAUUUUCCCCUGGUAGAGUUCAAUUUACUGUCAUUUUAGUUUCACUGUGAUAUUUCACUCGAAAAUGUUGGUUUGGGAUUGAAAUGUACACGCGUAUGAAAAAACUUAGAAAAAUCGCACAAGUAUAAUGUAGCCUUUCUAGAUGGUCGCCGCUGUUACACCACGGCCGGCUGUGUUCGUAUGUAUUAAUGGUAAACAGAGGACAUGUCUUCAAAACACGCGCUUAAUUGAAGAAAAUGGGAUUGUUGGAUGCAAGGCCACAAAGGUGCCAGCCUGUAUAUUUUCCAGAAGCACUCAGCCCAAAAUGAAUAUCCUUGCCUGUUUGCGAUGUUACAGUCAACAUUAAUCUGAAUGGUUUUUCAAUGGAAUAAUUUUAAGGUCAUUAGCUGUGAUUUGUGAAGUUGCUCACGGUGGUUAUUAAUAAAGAAAAAUCUCUCGCCCCUCCUCUGACACCUGUCUGGAAU
This 1308-nucleotide long non-coding RNA is filed under the name Mustela putorius furo (domestic ferret). Its description in RNAcentral is "lncRNA (ENSMPUG00000029336.1)". The record is from RNAcentral. Lineage: Eukaryota; Metazoa; Chordata; Mammalia; Carnivora; Mustelidae.